This 52-nucleotide transfer RNA is filed under the name Macaca fascicularis (crab-eating macaque). RNAcentral describes it as "partial tRNA-Cys". Lineage: Eukaryota; Metazoa; Chordata; Mammalia; Primates; Cercopithecidae. The record is from RNAcentral.
AGCCCCGAGGUGAUUUUCAUGUUGAAUUGCAAGUUCAAAGGAGCAGUCUAAG